RNAcentral lists this ribosomal RNA (309 nucleotides) under Sia sp. Steno_SA01. RNAcentral's name for it is "eukaryotic LSU rRNA". It matches the Rfam family "Eukaryotic large subunit ribosomal RNA", at positions 647 to 924 of the family's 3401-position model. The record is from RNAcentral. Lineage: Eukaryota; Metazoa; Arthropoda; Insecta; Orthoptera; Stenopelmatidae.
ACCCGUCUUGAAACACGGACCAAGGAGUCUAACAUGUGCGCAAGUCAUUGGGUUUAUUAGACCUAAAGGCGCAAUGAAAGUGAAGGUCUCGCCUAGCGCGGACCAAGGGAAGAUGGAGUUCGCAGUAGCGUCUCCCGCAUUCCCGGGGCGUCUCGUUCUCACUGCGAGUUGAGGCGCACCUAGAGCGUACACGUUGGGACCCGAAAGAUGGUGAACUAUGCCUGGCCAGGACGAAGUCAGGGGAAACCCUGAUGGAGGUCCGUAGCGAUUCUGACGUGCAAAUCGAUCGUCGGAGCUGGGUAUAGGGGC